AUUGAACGCUGGCGGCAGGCCUAACACAUGCAAGUCGAACGGUAACAGGAAGCAGCUUGCUGCUUUGCUGACGAGUGGCGGACGGGUGAGUAAUGUCUGGGAAACUGCCCGAUGGAGGGGGAUAACUACUGGAAACGGUAGCUAAUACCGCAUAACGUCGCAAGACCAAAGAGGGGGACCUUAGGGCCUCUUGCCAUCGGAUAUGCCCAGAUGGGAUUAGCUAGUAGGUGGGGUAACGGCUCACCUAGGCGACGAUCCCUAGCUGGUCUGAGAGGAUGACCAGCCACACUGGAACUGAGACACGGUCCAGACUCCUACGGGAGGCAGCAGUGGGGAAUAUUGCACAAUGGGCGCAAGCCUGAUGCAGCCAUGCCGCGUGUAUGAAGAAGGCCUUCGGGUUGUAAAGUACUUUCAGCGGGGAGGAAGGGAGUAAAGUUAAUACCUUUGCUCAUUGACGUUACCCGCAGAAGAAGCACCGGCUAACUCCGUG
RNAcentral lists this ribosomal RNA (490 nucleotides) under uncultured bacterium. Its description in RNAcentral is "partial 16S ribosomal RNA". It matches the Rfam family "Bacterial small subunit ribosomal RNA", at positions 30 to 507 of the family's 1533-position model. The record is from RNAcentral.